GAUGAACGCUGGCGGCGUGCCUAAUACAUGCAAGUCGAGCGAACGGACGAGAAGCUUGCUUCUCUGAUGUUAGCGGCGGACGGGUGAGUAACACGUGGAUAACCUACCUAUAAGACUGGGAUAACUUCGGGAAACCGGAGCUAAUACCGGAUAAUAUUUUGAACCGCAUGGUUCAAAAGUGAAAGACGGUCUUGCUGUCACUUAUAGAUGGAUCCGCGCUGCAUUAGCUAGUUGGUAAGGUAACGGCUUACCAAGGCAACGAUGCAUAGCCGACCUGAGAGGGUGGGCGGCCACCGUGCAAAUGAGACACCGUGCGGAGACCUGCGGGCGCAAGCACGAGGUGGGAUUGAUAAAGGUCCGAAAGCCUGACAGUGCAAUUAAGAGUGAAUAAUAUAGGUCUUCGGAUCUUAAAACACCGUUACUAGAAAUAAACAGAUGGCUACGUAACACUGCCCACCAUGACCGUAGCUAAUAAGAAAACCACCACUAACCACACC
This 497-nucleotide ribosomal RNA is filed under the name uncultured bacterium. Its description in RNAcentral is "partial 16S ribosomal RNA". It matches the Rfam family "Bacterial small subunit ribosomal RNA", at positions 28 to 507 of the family's 1533-position model. The record is from RNAcentral.